This 75-nucleotide transfer RNA is filed under the name Acidobacteriota bacterium. RNAcentral's name for it is "Acidobacteria bacterium tRNA-Lys". It matches the Rfam family "tRNA". Rfam says of the family: Transfer RNA (tRNA) molecules are approximately 80 nucleotides in length. Their secondary structure includes four short double-helical elements and three loops (D, anti-codon, and T loops). RNAcentral also lists the same sequence under 2 other names. Lineage: Bacteria; Pseudomonadati; Acidobacteriota. The record is from RNAcentral.
GGGACGGUAGCUCAAUGGUAGAGCAUUGCCCUUUUAAGGCAAGGGUUCUGGGUUCGAGUCCCAGCCGUCUCACCA